GACGAACGCUGGCGGCGUGCUUAACACAUGCAAGUCGAGCGGAAAGGCCCUUUCGGGGGUACUCGAGCGGCGAACGGGUGAGUAACACGUGAGUAAUCUGCCCUUGGCUUUGGGAUAACCACCGGAAACGGUGGCUAAUACCGGAUAUGACGCGCCCCGGCAUCGGGGUGGGAGGAAAGUUUUUUCGGCCAGGGAUGUGCUCGCGGCCUAUCAGCUUGUUGGGGGGGACAUGGCCUCCCAAGGCUUCGACGGGUAGCCGGCCCGAGAGGGUGACCGGACCCACUGGGAAUGAGACACGGCGCAGAGUCCUACGGGAGGCAGCAGUGGGGAAUAUUGGACAAUGGGCGGAAGCCUGAUCCAGCAACGCGGCGUGAGGGAUGACGGCCUUCGGGUUGUAAACCUCUUUCAGUACCGACGAAGCGCCGAUGAUGGUGGUGACGGUAGGUACAGAAGAAGCACCGGCCAACUACGUGCCAGCAGCCGCCGUAA
This 489-nucleotide ribosomal RNA is filed under the name uncultured bacterium. RNAcentral's name for it is "partial 16S ribosomal RNA". It matches the Rfam family "Bacterial small subunit ribosomal RNA", at positions 28 to 523 of the family's 1533-position model. The record is from RNAcentral.